Molecule: transfer RNA, 70 nt
Filed under: Lepidonotus sp. YZ-2018
Lineage: Eukaryota; Metazoa; Annelida; Polychaeta; Phyllodocida; Polynoidae
Description: tRNA-Glu
Source: RNAcentral
UCAACCAUAGUAUAAUUACUUAUUACAUAGUCUUUUCACGUCUAAAACCCUUACCUUUAAGGUGGUUGAC